This 253-nucleotide ribosomal RNA is filed under the name uncultured bacterium. RNAcentral's name for it is "partial 16S ribosomal RNA". It matches the Rfam family "Bacterial small subunit ribosomal RNA", at positions 524 to 776 of the family's 1533-position model. The record is from RNAcentral.
UACGUAGGGGGCAAGCGUUGUCCGGAUUUAUUGGGCGUAAAGAGCGUGUAGGCGGCCAAGCAGGUCCGCUGUGAAAACUCGAGGCUCAACCUCGAGACGUCGGUGGAAACCGUUUGGCUAGAGUCCGGAAGAGGAGAGUGGAAUUCCCGGUGUAGAGGUGAAAUUCGUAGAUAUUGGGAAGAACACCGGUGGCGAAGGCGGCUCACUGGCUCAUUUCUGACGCUCAGGCGCGACAGCGUGGGGAUCAAACAGG